GCCGCCGCCGCCGCUCUCUUCCCCGUAGACCCUCCCCCAUCCAAAGACCAGCGAGCGCGGAGAGCUGGAGACGCCGGAACGAACCCUCGCCUGCCACCAUGGUGCUCCAGAACGACAUCGACCUGCUGAACCCGCCGGCGGAGCUGGAGAAGCUCAAGCACAAGAAGAAGCGCCUUGUCCAGUCCCCCAACUCCUUCAUGGAUGUCAAGUGCCAAAGCUGCU
Long non-coding RNA from Panicum virgatum (switchgrass), 222 nucleotides. RefSeq lists it as uncharacterized. The transcript has 3 exons. Lineage: Eukaryota; Viridiplantae; Streptophyta; Magnoliopsida; Poales; Poaceae. The record is from RefSeq and is a predicted model, not a curated record.